GGGUGUGUUCCACACUCCUGCACCAGCAGUUUGCACUUCAGCGCCCCGUGGUUCCGAGGCAGAGCUUCUCGCCUGGAGAACCAAGCUGGCAGAGCUGGGUGAUGAAGGCAGCAUCCAUGGGGAGCUGUGACACCUCCGUGGGCUUUACACCACCCCAAAGCGCUGCAGAGGCUGUGGUCAGCACUCACAGCACAUCUCUGCUGCCCUGGAGGAGGAGAUGCUUUUCCCAGUGCCCUGGAAGAGGAUGUCCUUUCCCCGCUGGCCUCGCUCUGCCCGGCUCGUGUUUCCCAGAAGUCACGAUUUCAAAAAACCUUAUAUCACCUCUUUCAACAACAACAAAAAAGCACUUAUAUAGAAAAAGGACGCGCAAAAAGUUUGUCGCCCUCGCCUUAUUGCCGAAAAUAGAGAGAAUUAGAGUAACCGAGAUGCCACAAAGGAAAAGAAGGGCCAGAGAACCUGUUGCUCCCCCCUCCCCGUGCCCUGCCAGCCCCCCGUGCCGCGCCCGCUGCCGGCUCCGCUCCCCCCGCGGCCGAGGCUCCUGUCACCAUCUCAGCAUCCUUUA
This is a long non-coding RNA of Hirundo rustica (Barn swallow), 562 nucleotides long. RefSeq lists it as uncharacterized. The record is from RefSeq and is a predicted model, not a curated record. Lineage: Eukaryota; Metazoa; Chordata; Aves; Passeriformes; Hirundinidae. The transcript has 3 exons.